Syngnathus typhle (broad-nosed pipefish) is the source of this 2249-nucleotide long non-coding RNA. RefSeq lists it as uncharacterized. The record is from RefSeq and is a predicted model, not a curated record. NCBI's taxonomy places the organism in Eukaryota, Metazoa, Chordata, Actinopteri, Syngnathiformes, Syngnathidae. The transcript is spliced from 2 exons.
UGUUAGUAAUUGACUGUAUUUGAAAAUUCUUCCAUGUUCACUGCGCUGGAGGAGUAGCAGCAUCCUGAGGGCAGAGGACCAGGGUGGAGUCCAGGUCCAGGCGGAAGGCCGGGUAAAUGGGCUGCGAGAAGGCACAUGGGAAGACGUCCUCCAAGUGGCUGCGGAGUCUCCCCAGGGCCCUGCUGACCCCGCCGAAGGCCUCCGCGGGGGGGGCGGACGUCACCGAGGGCCGGGCGGCGGCCAGGACGGGAAGGCACAGCAGCGGCGCCGCCUGCUGGCGAGAGAGCCGCACAAAAACGACAGAUUGACUGAGCAAAGGUUUGAACUCAAGAACCACCUUUGUUUUGGAUCAUUUCGCCCUGCAGUUCCCCGUGUGGCCUGUAGGGUGUGCUGUUUGACCUGCAGAAAGUGUUCGUUGUCCUGAGUCUGAAGAAGUUGCGCAAUCUCCUGGUCUCGCCCGCGCAGUUCUUCCAGAUCUUUCCCCAGCGUGUCGGCAUCUCGCUGGGCGCGACCCACCAACGCUCGCUCGCGAGCCUCCACGCGCGCUCGCACCUGCAGCCAGGAACCCUUUGACCCCAGCUCGAAACCCCAAUUUGAAACCUCCAAAAGCUUCAUAUCAAAGCCCGGGUGCCGAGCUUCAGAAACAAAUUUGAAAGCCGAGUUCGGAAGCCUAGGCUAAGCUCAAAGCACAUUGGAAAACCUGAACUUUGUUCUUUGAGAUGCUGACAAGUCACCUCGGCCUUGGUCUUCUCCAGUCGUACUGCCAUGUCAGCAAAGAGCAUCUCGCUGUCCUCCAAAACGGCCGAAGCGGACGCCUGACAAUCACAUGCAGGUCAUGUCCUACUUUCCAGAGGUCCGGGAACAUCGGAUUGGAAGCCAAGUCCAAAAUACGCACCUUGAGGGCUUCCAAACUCUGCUGGAACUCCUCCAGCUCUCGCUCGCAGCUUUGGAUUUUGCACCGAACCGUCCUCUGAGACUCCUGAAGCUGAACCUGGACGCCGACAGAGAAUUUGGAUGUUCUUUGUGGAUGAUGUCUCGUCGUCUGGUUUGUUUGUUUGUCUAGGAACUUUCCCAUGCAGCACUACGUCCGUCCGUACCUGUCUCCGCGCCCUCUGCGCCUCCGCAGGGUGCGCCUCCUCUCGGUCGGCCUCGCACAGCAGACAGUCUCCGCUCCAGUCCGCCGCGGCCUCCUCCGGCUCGUCAUCGUCGCUGCAGCCGCGGCGGUGUUGCGCGUACAACCGCUGGGCGGGACACUCCACGGCGGCCACCAACUUGUGGCGCCGCAAGGAGCUCACUUCCCGAUGGGGCAAGACGUGGACCUCGCAGAAGGAGGUCAGGCACACCAUACACGACUUGGCCGCCGCCAGCUUGUUCAGCGGCGGGCAAAAGUCGCACGGCACCUGGCCCGCGACGCCCAGGUAGAGCUCUGGUGGCGGGGAGAGCUCCGACGCGGCGGCGCCGGCUUGCGUGGGCUUGAGUUUGGCCACCACCUCGGCCAGCACCGUGUUCCGGCGGAGCACCGGCCGCGGGCUGAACGCCUCGCGGCACUGCGGGCAGCUGAAGUGCGCCGGAGGCUCGGCCUGGUCCCAGUAGCCGUUGAUGCACGCCAUGCAGUAGGUGUGUCCGCACGGGAUGGACACCGGGUCCUGGAGGACGUCCAGGCAGAUGGCACAGCGGAACUGGCUCUCCGUCACCGAGAUGUUGGCGCGACACUCCAUCGGGACGGGGCGGCUAUCUGCAGGAGUCCGACUUUCGGUUUUGCGCCAACGGGAGGUAGGGAUCGAGGGGCCGGACUGCGGCACAGGGAGCAGUCGUUGUCUUAAAAUAACUCUUCCGUUCCGCUCCGUCAUCCAUUCCGUUCGAACAUGGGUAGCUGUGCCCCUGGCGUUGACUGGCAAGGCAUGUGGUCGUGACUGAAAUCAGUGUUGACUUGUAUUUUGAACGACGCUCACUUUUUAUUUAUUUUUUGCAUGAAUAGGAUGUGACAUGUGACGUCACACUGCCUAUUUCGUGCUAUUUGAGGUCAUCCCGCCACCAAGGGGAUAUUUAUGAUUGAACACAACAGUUCAAAGCAUGUCAAUAUCAAUUUAUCAUACGGAGAAGCGCACAAUGUGCAUAUCGCUCCCGGAAAGUGUGACCUCCACCUUUUUCAGUUAUGCUCCUAACUCCAUUCUGCAUGACUCUGUUAUACCGCCCCUGGUGGCCAAGCUGCAUGCACCAAAAUGUGCCAUAAACAAUGGUUCAAGCUG